GUGGUGCUUGGGUCGGUUCAACCCUGGGACACCGGGAUUGGCCCGGUCUUGAGCCGGGUAUUCGGGGCGGGUGGUCCGGCGCGGUCGUGCCGCGCC
Molecule: transfer RNA, 96 nt
Filed under: Achromobacter animicus
Lineage: Bacteria; Pseudomonadati; Pseudomonadota; Betaproteobacteria; Burkholderiales; Alcaligenaceae
Description: tRNA-Pro
Source: RNAcentral